RNAcentral lists this ribosomal RNA (301 nucleotides) under uncultured bacterium. RNAcentral describes it as "partial 16S ribosomal RNA". It matches the Rfam family "Bacterial small subunit ribosomal RNA", at positions 509 to 807 of the family's 1533-position model. The record is from RNAcentral.
CAGUCGCCGCGGUAAUACGUAGGUGGCAAGCGUUGUCCGGAAUUAUUGGGCGUAAAGGGCUCGCAGGCGGUUUCUUAAGUCUGAUGUGAAAGCCCCCGGCUCAACCGGGGAGGGUCAUUGGAAACUGGGAAACUUGAGUGCAGAAGAGGAGAGUGGAAUUCCACGUGUAGCGGUGAAAUGCGUAGAGACGUGGAGGAACACCAGUGGCGAAGGCGACUCUCUGGUCUGUAACUGACGCUGAGGAGCGAAAGCGCGGGGAGCGAACAGGAUUAGAUACCCCAGUAGUCCCUGUCUCUUAUAC